AAGAACAGAGAAAUGAUGCACUAUUCUGACACUUUUUUCUUAAAGGGGAAAAAAAGAAAGAACAGUAAUAAUAAAUAAUAAAUAAGGAGUUUUGUCCAUUGAACCAUAUAACCAGACGCUCAUUGUUUCAGAAAAGCAAGGGGUGGAAUCUGGUAUCAUUAUGUUACACUUUUUCCAUCGCGUGUUUGAUUGCUGUGUUGGGUUUGGUCUCUCACACUGCUUCCAGGUCCAAACCCCCCUAGCUAACUGUUUUUAUUUAAUACCUAAUUUUUUUGUUUCCCUGAAGGACCAUAUGGUGUUAAAAAAGGACCGUACAUUGGAUUUUGCUUUAUCCUAAUAGUGACAAGAUAAGAUAAGGUCAAAUAUAUAAGCAAGAUAUUUUGUCCAAUAUUUGAAUUAUAAUAAUAAUAUCAAUAUGCAUGCUGUUGGGAUAUUGAUUAGGUCAUGUGUUUUGGUCUUAAGCCAUGGCUAGCAACUUCUGAUUUGAGUACCAACAUGUUAAAUAAUUGCCCACUGAAUCUUCUUGUAUCUUGGAUAUGCACAUGCUGGUAUAAUAAGGGGAGAGAAAGGUUUCCGUCGCCACCUAAGUAACCACUGAGAAGGCAUUAUUGCUGGGAAAUGAAUUGGCUUUGUAAGUGUAGCUUUAACAACUAUAAUAAAGAUACAUAACACAGACUUUUGGCAGGUCCCAGAACAGUGACUGGGUUGCCAUUGUACUAUUCAUUUGUCCCCAGUUAACGAGGAUGUUUACCUGUUUUUCACCAAGCAUGCGUCCUGCCCCAGAUUUCUAAUCUUGCUGAGGUAAAUAUUGUAUGUUGUAACUGAAAGAAUCUUGCUACCAAGUACGCAUGAGGAGUACAGAGAUGUCUCCAUUUCUUUUACCAAAAAACAAACAUCUCCAUGAUCCACUUUGUGGUGGACACUAUGUAGAGUAUAAAUAUUGAUUAACCAAAAAUUUUGAUUAAAAAGGGUGUGCACUUAACUUGAAA
Long non-coding RNA from Glycine soja, 989 nucleotides. RefSeq lists it as uncharacterized. Lineage: Eukaryota; Viridiplantae; Streptophyta; Magnoliopsida; Fabales; Fabaceae. The transcript has 2 exons. The record is from RefSeq and is a predicted model, not a curated record.